UUCUGUCAUUUUUACCUUUCAUAUCUCUGAUUCUAGUAACAUUGCUUACCUUAAACUCUUUUAUUUGAUAUUAAUAUGGCUACACAGCUACCUUUUGGUUAAUAUUUAUGUAGCAUAUUCCUUUCAUUCCUUUUAUUUUUCUGUCUUCCUGUGUCCCCAUGAGUACAGGGAGUCUUUCAUAGAACAGUAUUCUAUUUAAAGUGUGUCUCAACAACAUAUGGUUGGUUUGUUUAUUUUUUUUAGCCAAACUGGCAAAUUAGCCUAGCAAAGAAAAUAGCCAGUAAUUGCCAGUUCACUUCAGAACUGGAAUCCAACUCAUCUACUGUCUUUGCUUGCACACAUCCCUUAUUUUGCCUUUAAAAACACAAUUUUUGAAGUCGUCAAGGACCUUGGAGUCACCGCAGUGAGAACGCUGGGCCGCCACGACCUACGGCAUCCUACCACAAAGUACAAGGUGCUAAGCAUUCGCCACUGCUUCUGACUUCUUCCAUCUUCCUUGACGCCUUGCGGGUCUUUUCCAUUUUGGGUGCAGCUUUUUCUCGACUCUGCAAUAAUACAGUGAACAUUCUAGACCCUGGAUGGCAUGCAGCCCCUUGGGAGGCCAAAAAAGCAAACAAAACGAUUGACCCCAGCCACCGCAUUCAGCGAGCAAUCGAACUUCAUCUCCAAGAUUUCAGCAAGCUUUAAAUGUUCAUGGUCAAGGUCUGUGUCUCCCACUCUCUAUCUCUGGCAGCUCCUCCCAGCACUGUGAGACGUCCACAGCUUCCUGCUGGCCCCCAUGUUUUCUCCAGGCCACUCUCCUCUCUCCCCUUUCAGUGUCCUCGUCACUCGGAACCUUAUUCCAAGCUUUUCAUCACCUCCAAACCUUCUCUGGAGCUGUUCCUGAGACUGAAGGCUAUGAAAGAUCUGCAAACUACGGCAGUGCCCAAGAGAGAUGAUCUCGACCAGACUGGGAAGACGCCCGAAGGGCGCCGAAACGACAGACAAGAGAGAUGAAAGAGACACGAUGUUUUUCUUUAUAAAUGUGCUAAAUGUCGCUUUCUCUCCUGGACUCAAAGCCGCUUUGACUCCGCUCUCCCCUGAUGACUGGCCUCCGAGACAGAGCAAACGCGCUGAGUUUCUCAGACAUACGAUGGGUUUUUACGCUUGCUGCACUUGUAGGCACCGAAGCCAGCAGCCUCAAAAACCAGUUGGUUUGCUCGAAUUUAGCUUUCUGGCAAAAACCUCUUCUCUGGCUCAGACGUCCAUUCCUACUUCAGGAAUUCCUUUGCAAGGUGCUGUGCCCAGCGCUGCACUCUCGAUGUACUCAGAUAAUAAUGACUGUGGCUGGAGACAAAAGGGCGCACAAUGAGAAAAGCUGCCAGCGAAACACAAGCUUUGGCAAUUUUCCGAGAAACACAAUAAAAUGGAGUUGUUGAGCCGUGGCCCUCA
RNAcentral lists this long non-coding RNA (1431 nucleotides) under Oryctolagus cuniculus (rabbit). RNAcentral's name for it is "lncRNA (ENSOCUG00000036362.1)". Lineage: Eukaryota; Metazoa; Chordata; Mammalia; Lagomorpha; Leporidae. The record is from RNAcentral.